RNAcentral lists this long non-coding RNA (277 nucleotides) under Amborella trichopoda. RNAcentral describes it as "long non-coding RNA (ATRI_LNC004897)". The record is from RNAcentral. Lineage: Eukaryota; Viridiplantae; Streptophyta; Magnoliopsida; Amborellales; Amborellaceae.
CAAAAGGUAGGAAGGGAGCGUAAGGGUCGUUAUUAGUCAAGUCUCUUUGUUGGUUUGUUGUUCAGGUAUUGUUAGUCAAAGGUGCUGCUAGCUUAUGGUUCCCAUGGCUUCUAGUAGGAGAGAAGGUAGAGUGUGUAUUGUAGUGUAAAUCUUUCAGUGAAUCGGUAGGGGUGAGUGCAUUCUUGAUACCGAGCGCAGGAACGAAAUGAGCGCAGCCCGAGCGGAGUUCUACCUCUUAGCAUAAGAAGUAGCCCAGCCGACGCUUGAGGCAUCACCA